AACGGGACGGGGCGGGACGGCGCUCCUGCUGCCCUGCGCUGCCCGCCCCAUCCCGACCC
Gallus gallus (chicken) is the source of this 59-nucleotide microRNA precursor. The record is from Ensembl. Lineage: Eukaryota; Metazoa; Chordata; Aves; Galliformes; Phasianidae.